This is a long non-coding RNA of Daphnia pulicaria, 580 nucleotides long. RefSeq lists it as uncharacterized. The transcript is spliced from 2 exons. NCBI's taxonomy places the organism in Eukaryota, Metazoa, Arthropoda, Branchiopoda, Diplostraca, Daphniidae. The record is from RefSeq and is a predicted model, not a curated record.
CGGACAAACUCGCCAAGGUAUAAAAUGUGAGGUGUUGCUAGUUGUAUGCACAGAAUUCAUUUGACCACGGAAGAACUUGAUCGCUCUUUUCCGCUCCUCAAUCGCAUUUGUUUUCAAUUUCUUCAGUCUCCUUUUACACAUUUCGGCAAAAUGAUGAAAACUAUUUUGGCAAUGGCUGUCCUAGUUGCUGUUCUCAGCAUGGAGAUUUUGGCGGCUAGUUUAAAUUCUCCUCAAGUUCAGGAGGAGACUCCUGCAGAAGAGCGUACGUUUGGCUUGUUAGCUCUGUUCGCGAUCUGGCCUGCCAUCAAAGGUUUCUUCAAAAGUAUUUUUGCUCCCGCAGCCGUUACCUACUAGAGGAAAAAUCAACUUCAACUUGACACACUCGUCUACAUCAUGUUUUCAAUCUGCAUCUGUUUUUUUUCCUUACGAGAUGUAAAUAACGUAUCGCAUAAUCGGAAUCAAGGUCAAUUCAAGGGAAUUUUUUUUUCCCGUAUCCUUCUUUUGAACUGCCAUUCAAUGUGCUGUGCGCAAAUACAAUGAGCGAUAAUUUCCUGACAGUGAUACUUGCAAUAAAAUCUCA